UUUACAAGGAAUAAACACAGGAGGCCAUGAGAAGAUGUAUGCUGGCAGGUUGCAGUAAUGAUUUCUGUUGGCACGAAGAGAAAACUUUAUGCAGCUAUAAAUCUUUGGAAACUUGUCAUUUUCUGUAUUUUCUCAAUGUGUCUGAAAACCGGUUGAGCUAUUUGGUUAGUCAAAUGCACUUCCUCCUUCCCUCCUUCGGAUUUCUUCACAAAGCCGUGUGAAGUGUGGGAGGAUGUCCUGGAGUCCUGAAAAGGUCUGCACGCCUGAUGACUUGCCCUGGCGGCAGACGUCCUCCUGACGUUUUUACUCUUCAUCGUGUUACACACGGAUCCCUCCAGAUGCCUGGGAUUUCCUCAAUGGAUCGCUGGGUUUCAGAGAGAGACCUGUGAACAGCCUCUCACCUUCCGCCAGGAAGAAAGUCAGCUGUCGGCCACGAGUAUCAGUCGAAGCUCUCCAAGCACUCGUCCCAGGUCCACUCCAUCAGGGGCAUUCGAGGCAAGUUUGGUGUCCAGGUGGACAGCGUUGACCAGAAGUGAUUAUUAAGAAGCGUAAAUUUCUAGAAGAGGAAUUGCCGGGUCACAGAAGGUGGAAGGUAAAAUUUUGGUGGAUGCUGCCAGAUUGUCCCUGCAGGCCCUGCUGGUUUUCCUGUCCCUCGUUAAAAUCCC
This is a long non-coding RNA of Prionailurus viverrinus (fishing cat), 665 nucleotides long. RefSeq lists it as uncharacterized. The record is from RefSeq and is a predicted model, not a curated record. NCBI's taxonomy places the organism in Eukaryota, Metazoa, Chordata, Mammalia, Carnivora, Felidae. The transcript has 3 exons.